Molecule: non-coding RNA, 78 nt
Organism: Schistosoma haematobium
Lineage: Eukaryota; Metazoa; Platyhelminthes; Trematoda; Strigeidida; Schistosomatidae
Source: Rfam
AGACUUCCAAGUUCGUGCCGAGAUUUCAUCAGACAGUAGAUCAUUGAGACUGUUGAGACUCUCAAGAUAAGUGAAGCA